AGUCGAAAAAUUAAAUGAGAGAUUAAAAUAACUUUUUUUGUAAAGUUGAAGGGCAAAAUAAAUAAUUAUGCCAAAAAAGAAAAUUUCAACCUCACAUAACGGGUUCAAUAACCAGUUUUAUAUAAAAAUCAAAAAAUAAAUACAGAUACAAUGAAAAUUUAUCAGAAUUCAAUGCCCAGACUUAUGUCUAGAGUAAAUAUAUAUGUACAUCACAAAUCAAUUCAAGAAGAAAAAGGCAGCAAAUUUCAUGUAGAAAGCCUACAAUUGGCCCUGUUUAAAAAUGGUCCUCCAUAACUUGGAAUGCUGCCGGACAACAUCAAAAAUCACCCUAAAAGUUAGUCAGUCAAGCCAGAUUUGGUUACCGAAAACGAUAAAAAUUUUCGACCGAAAUGCCUUUGCAUAUCAUGCACCAGCAUGAUCUUCCUGAGGUUACUCAUCCGUCUUGAUUAUCAUUCAUCGGAUCCUGUUAUGUUCAAAAGAAACUGGCAGAACAUGACAUUCGUAAACGAUGAUGCAGUUCUUGGAGCAAAGCAAAUCCAGUUUCUUGAAGAAACAUGAACUUGAGGUCCCAAUCAUUGAUUUCAGAAGAGAUAUUAUGUACAUCAUAUAAUGGUGUAGUGCGAUA
RNAcentral lists this long non-coding RNA (625 nucleotides) under Gossypium barbadense (sea-island cotton). RNAcentral describes it as "long non-coding RNA (GBAR_LNC023441)". The record is from RNAcentral. Lineage: Eukaryota; Viridiplantae; Streptophyta; Magnoliopsida; Malvales; Malvaceae.